AACGCUAGCGACAGGCUUAACACAUGCAAGUCGAGGGGUAACAGGGUAGCAAUACCGCUGACGACCGGCGCACGGGUGAGUAACGCGUAUGCAACCUGCCUAUAACUGGGGAAUAGCUCCCUGAAAGGGGAAUUAACACCGCAUAACACUAUUGAUUCGCAUGGAUUGGUAGUUAAAUGUAGCGAUACAGGUUAUAGAUGGGCAUGCGUGACAUUAGCUAGUUGGUGAGGUAACGGCUCACCAAGGCUACGAUGUCUAGGGGUUCUGAGAGGAAGGUCCCCCACACUGGUACUGAGACACGGACCAGACUCCUACGGGAGGCAGCAGUGAGGAAUAUUGGUCAAUGGGCGCAAGCCUGAACCAGCCAUGUCGCGUGCAGGAAGACUGCCCUAUGGGUUGUAAACUGCUUUUAUAGUAGAAGAAAUACAUCUACGCGUAGAUGUCUGCCAGUAUACUAUGAAUAAGCAUCGGCUAACUCCGUG
RNAcentral lists this ribosomal RNA (482 nucleotides) under uncultured bacterium. RNAcentral's name for it is "bacterial SSU rRNA". It matches the Rfam family "Bacterial small subunit ribosomal RNA", at positions 32 to 507 of the family's 1533-position model. The record is from RNAcentral.